RNAcentral lists this ribosomal RNA (451 nucleotides) under uncultured bacterium. Its description in RNAcentral is "bacterial SSU rRNA". It matches the Rfam family "Bacterial small subunit ribosomal RNA", at positions 351 to 793 of the family's 1533-position model. The record is from RNAcentral.
GCAGUGGGGAAUAUUGCACAAUGGGCGCAAGCCUGAUGCAGCCAUGCCGCGUGUAUGAAGAAGGCCUUCGGGUUGUAAAGUACUUUCAGCAGUGAGGAAGGUGGAUAUGUUAAUAGCAUAUUCAUUUGACGUUUAGCUUGCAGAAGAAGCACCGGCUAACUCCGUGCCAGCAGCCGCGGUAAUACGGAGGGUGCGAGCGUUAAUCGGAAUUACUGGGCGUAAAGCGCAUGCAGGUGGUUUGUUAAGUCAGAUGUGAAAGCCCGGGGCUCAACCUCGGAAUUGCAUUUGAAACUGGCAAACUAGAGUACUGUAGAGGGGGUAGAAUUUCAGGUGUAGCGGUGAAAUGCGUAGAGAUCUGAAGGAAUACCGGUGGCGAAGGCGGCCCCCUGGACAGAUACUGACACUCAGAUGCGAAAGCGUGGGGAGCAAACAGGAUUAGAUACCCUGGUAG